AGUGAACGCUGGCGGUAGGCCUAACACAUGCAAGUCGAACGGCAGCACAGAGGAGCUUGCUCCUUGGGUGGCGAGUGGCGGACGGGUGAGGAAUACAUCGGAAUCUACUCUGUCGUGGGGGAUAACGUAGGGAAACUUACGCUAAUACCGCAUACGACCUACGGGUGAAAGCAGGGGAUCUUCGGACCUUGCGCGAUUGAAUGAGCCGAUGUGGGAUUAGCUAGUUGGCGGGGUAAAGGCCCACCAAGGCGACGAUCGGUAGCUGGUCUGAGAGGAUGAUCAGCCAAACUGGAACUGAGACACGGCCCAGACUCCGCCGGGAGGCAGAAGUGAGGAAUAUGGGACAAGGGGCGCAGGCCUGAUCCAGCCAUACCGCGUGGGUGAAGAAGGCCUUCGGGUUGUAAAGCCCUUUUGUUGGGAAAGAAAUCCAUCUGGUUAAUACCCGGGUGGGAUGACGGUACCCAAAGAAUAAGCACCGGCUAACUUUGUGCCAGCAGCCGCCGUAA
Molecule: ribosomal RNA, 506 nt
Filed under: uncultured bacterium
Lineage: Bacteria
Description: partial 16S ribosomal RNA
Rfam family: Bacterial small subunit ribosomal RNA
Source: RNAcentral